This 1296-nucleotide small RNA is filed under the name Ossicaulis lignatilis. Its description in RNAcentral is "eukaryotic LSU rRNA". The stretch from base 439 to 1296 matches the Rfam family "Eukaryotic large subunit ribosomal RNA", at positions 1 to 842 of the family's 3401-position model. Lineage: Eukaryota; Fungi; Basidiomycota; Agaricomycetes; Agaricales; Lyophyllaceae. The record is from RNAcentral.
GUCUAUGUCUUUACAUACCCCAUAAGAAUGUAACAGAAUGUCUUUUAAUGGCCUCUGCGCCACUAAUCAAAUACAACUUUCAACAACGGAUCUCUUGGCUCUCGCAUCGAUGAAGAACGCAGCGAAAUGCGAUAAGUAAUGUGAAUUGCAGAAUUCAGUGAAUCAUCGAAUCUUUGAACGCACCUUGCGCUCCUUGGUAUUCCGAGGAGCAUGCCUGUUUGAGUGUCAUUAAACUCUCAACCUUUCCGGCUUUCACUAGCUCGGUCAGGCUUGGACGUGGGGGCUGCGGGCUUCUUUUUGAAGUCGGCUCUCCUUAAAUGCAUUAGCGAAAACCUUUGGUUGACCAAAUCCCUGGUGUGAUAAUUAUCUACGCCACAGGAUAACCUUACAAGGACUUUUCGCUUCUAACCGUCCUUUUGGACAACACUUCAUGACAUUUGACCUCAAAUCAGGUAGGACUACCCGCUGAACUUAAGCAUAUCAAUAAGCGGAGGAAAAGAAACUAACAAGGAUUCCCCUAGUAACUGCGAGUGAAGCGGGAAAAGCUCAAAUUUAAAAUCUGGUAGUCUUUGGCUGCCCGAGUUGUAAUCUAGAGAAGCAUUAUCCGCGCUGGACCGUGUACAAGUCUCCUGGAACGGAGCGUCAUAGAGGGUGAGAAUCCCGUCUUUGACACGGACUACCAGGGCUUUGUGAUGUGCUCUCAAAGAGUCGAGUUGUUUGGGAAUGCAGCUCUAAAUGGGUGGUAAAUUCCAUCUAAAGCUAAAUAUUGGCGAGAGACCGAUAGCGAACAAGUACCGUGAGGGAAAGAUGAAAAGAACUUUGGAAAGAGAGUUAAACAGUACGUGAAAUUGUUGAAAGGGAAACGCUUGAAGUCAGUCGCGUUUGCCGGGGAUCAGCCUUGCUCUUUUGCUUGGUGUACUUCCCGGUCGACGGGUCAGCAUCAAUUUUGACCGGUGGAUAAAGGUCAGGGGAAUGUGGCAUCUUCGGAUGUGUUAUAGCCCUUGGUUGCAUACAUCGGUUGGGAUUGAGGAAUUCAGCACGCCGCAAGGCCGGGUCUUCUGACCACGUACGUGCUUAGGAUGCUGGCAUAAUGGCUUUAAUCGACCCGUCUUGAAACACGGACCAAGGAGUCUAACAUGCCCGCGAGUGUUUGGGUGGAAAACCCGGACGCGUAAUGAAAGUGAAAGUUGAGAUCCCUGUCGCGGGGAGCAUCGACGCCCGGACCAGACCUUUUGUGACGGUCCCGCGGUAGAGCGUGUAUGUUGGGACCCGAAAGAUGGUGAACUAUGCCUGAAU